UACGUAGGGUGCGAGCGUUAAUCGGAAUUACUGGGCGUAAAGCGUGCGCAGGCGGUUUUGUAAGCCAGAUGUGAAAUCCCCGGGCUUAACCUGGGAAUGGCAUUUGGGACUGCAAGGCUGGAGUGUGGCAGAGGGGGAUGGAAUUCCGCGUGUAGCAGUGAAAUGCGUAGAUAUGCGGAGGAACACCGAUGGCGAAGGCAAUCCCCUGGGCCUGCACUGACGCUCAUGCACGAAAGCGUGGGGAGCAAACAGG
RNAcentral lists this ribosomal RNA (253 nucleotides) under uncultured bacterium. RNAcentral describes it as "partial 16S ribosomal RNA". It matches the Rfam family "Bacterial small subunit ribosomal RNA", at positions 524 to 776 of the family's 1533-position model. The record is from RNAcentral.